ACUUGUUCUUUAAAUGAGGACUAGAAUGAACGGCACAACGAGAGUUACACUGUCUCCUUUUUUCAAUCAGUUAAACUAAUCUCCCCGUGAAGAAGCGGGGAUUUACCUAUAAGACGAGAAGACCCUAUGGAGCUUUAAAUUUUGUUACAACUGCUAUUCUAUUUUACAGUCCUAGACCUAUCACAUAACUACUAGCACCAUGAUAAUAAAUUUUAGGUUGGGGUGACCGCGGAGUAUAAUAUAACCUCCACAUUGACACAGGCCUAACGCCUUGAACCAAGAGCCACAACUCUAAGAAAUAAUACAUUAACAUUUAUUGACCCAAUACUACUUGAUCAACGGACCAAGUUACCCUAGGGAUAACAGCGCAAUCCACUUUAAGAGCCCCUAUCGACAAGUGG
This 401-nucleotide ribosomal RNA is filed under the name Scinax agilis. RNAcentral describes it as "partial 16S ribosomal RNA". It matches the Rfam family "Bacterial large subunit ribosomal RNA", at positions 1967 to 2515 of the family's 2925-position model. The record is from RNAcentral. Lineage: Eukaryota; Metazoa; Chordata; Amphibia; Anura; Hylidae.